Molecule: long non-coding RNA, 3720 nt
Organism: Dromaius novaehollandiae (emu)
Lineage: Eukaryota; Metazoa; Chordata; Aves; Casuariiformes; Dromaiidae
Source: Ensembl
CCAGGUGCCUCUGAGGGGGGUGACUGGUGCCCCUGGGGGAUGCAUGGGGUAACUGGUGCCCCCAGGGUGUGUGUGGGGGGUAACUGUUGCCCCUGGGGUGCAUGGGGUCCCUGGCGCCCCUCGGGGUGGGGGUCAGCCCCCCUGGGAGUCCCUGGGCCGGGUUCAGACCAGGUGCCGUCUCUACCCCUGCUGUGCCUGGCCGGAGCCAGCACAGAGCCGAGGCCUCCCAUGCCGCCCAGCGCUGCGGCCCGCGGCAGGGACACGGCCGAGUCCUAGCUCCGCCAGAGAUGGUGCUGUGCGCUGUGUUAACGGGUGCGUUUCGUCGCUUCCCCACAGGCAAUGCCGGAUAACUCCAUCCGGGAGAUAGCGGAGGAGCCACCAGCCGCAGCCGUGCCGGGUGGGAGGUGCAGCAGAGGCUCCUCCGCCAGAAGCAGUGCAUGCAGGAAAACUCUGCAGCCUUCCCGUGGUCUGAUAAGUUACUCUUUAAAAACUCUGGCAGCCCGGUUCUGUUUGCCAAGCUUGGGGGUCAGAAAAGGCGAUGGAAAAAUGCAGCAUGUGCAGGAAGACCGUAGCUAUAAAGCAGUUAUUGAUCAGAGGGGAAAUGUGGGCUACRCUGUAAGCCCAGUUGCUUAACACUGUUGAAUCUCACUGAGAAAAACUGGUAUUUUCCGACUCCUCUGGACUGGGGAGGGGUAGUGGAAGAGGAUGAAAUUUAAGGAACUUAACAUGAUGAAAAAUCACAGUAAUACAAGGCUGGAAAUUUUUUCUGAAGCUAGAGGCAAUGUUUGGGGCUGGAAGUACAGUUUGAAGAUGGCCUUUUCUUGUCAUCAUAGGAAAACGAAGUUACUUAUUGUCCUUGUUGUUGCYUGUCAGGUUGGGUCUGAAUAUUUCUAUUUUUCUUGCUUCUUUUGCCAGGGAACAUCAAAAAACAGAAGUGCAGCAACACAGGUCUGCAGACAAAAGUGCAUUCACAUUACCAUAGAUGGAAUACUUUGGAGAAGAUACAAGAGAAGGAUUUCAGCUUAAUCAGGUCCAGGCACAAGUUUUGGACCCAUAGCUAAAACAGCAGAGCAUCAGCAACAUCUGUCUCCUCUCUGCACUGAGAUCCAAGAGGACUGAAGAGCUCUCCAGGCAUUUUUAUGACAAGAAGAUUUGCAUAUUCGAGAACCACCUUGCCUUUUCUCCUCUUUAUUUUUCCUCCUCUUUUCCCAAACACAGAUCAGUAACCUUUAUUAACACUGGGUCUGAAAAGCAUGUCCAUGUUUAAAUAUGAACACAGAUGGGCGUUUGUUCCUGUGGGGUUUUCAUUCAACAAGGAAUGUGUAAUCAAUGUGUGUAAUGAAUUAUAUCCAUUAUCACGGUUUGUUGGGACAGCUCCGGGAGCCAGGAUCUGGGUCAAGUCAGGAUUCCCAGAAAUGAGAACAAUAAGCCGAGGUGGCAAGUAGGUGGACUGUGGGGGUGAGUCAGCUGCAUCCCCCGCUCAGAAGCACCGACCUCUUUUGAGGGGAGGUUUUUUAGAAAGUGCGCCGUGAAGAUGGGGAGUGCUUCAUGACCCAAGCUGCAGCCUUGGCCAUUGGCUUACCCAGUCCAUCGCUAGCUCUUGCUCUUGAUAAGUAGUUAUUUAUACAAAGCAGAGCUGCUCCAGCAGAAAAGAAAGCUCUGAUGAGUCAGAGCAGAGGCAGCUUGCACGUGAGCACAGCUGGAGCAUAGGAGACUUAGCUGGAAGAAAUGCUGAUGUGGGGAGACUAUAAAUGGUAGCUGAGUAAGACCCAGAUGUGCCUCAGAGAUGCCUAAAGGGUGAGUGUAGGUGCCUAAGCAGGGCCAGGUUUUUGGCCCCAGGCAGGUCUGGAGCACAAGCUUAGGCGAUAAGUGUGAAGCAGACACCAAAUUCGUCAGUGCCAAGAUUUGGGUGAGAUAAACCUCACCUUCAUUUUCACCGGGGGUUGUUAUAAUCUUCCCUGGAGGAUGGAGCAAUCUCCCAUGAAGGAUAGCUAGUGACAGUCAGUUCAGAGGGUGAAUUCGCUCCUCCUCCUGGGAAGAACACGAGCAUMUGUGUCCUUCCAUUUCACAUUUGCUCCUCUCCCAUGUAGUGGCAGCCUCUCASUCUUCCCCCAUUUGCUCUCUGUGUUUUCAGACAUCUGUGACCCAGUGGUUGAGACCCUGGCUGAAUUAGUCCSUUUUUCAGACAGCAAAGACUUUCUGUGCUCUUUGACAUCUCCCUGAUCUUGGGUCACCAAAGGAUCCAGAGAGGAGCACUAGGGUCCCUCCAAUACUAAGGCUGUGCUACAGGUCUUACCGUCACCCUCUUCAUUGCAUCGUCCUUUUCACAGCCUCACUCCACAAGAGAGAUUUUUUUCUGGCUUCUUGUCUUUCCCUCCACCCCCACCUUUGCAGCUCAUUCAAAGAAUGUGGGUUUUUGCCAGAGGCAGCCAAGACUUUAAAUGCAUCUGGUGUUAACCAUCCACCUCUUAGAAGCUGAGGUCCUAAAGCUGGGKGACCCUUUGGAUUGGGCUGUUGUAACCACUGUGAGCCACUUUUCUCUUUCUUGGUCACAUCCUCACACUGUGAAACAUUGCAUCAUCUGAGCUCAGCUGGUCCAGAAGCAGGGAUGUCUGACCUGGACAUUUUGCAUACUAYGGUCCUGAAGGUAGAGAAUGGGGGUGUUCCACAGGACAUUUCUUUCUGAUGUCCUAUGAGACUGUGACCAUCUACUGGCUCAAAUUAGCAGUGCUCACAGAAUCAGAGAAAAACUUAAAUCAGAAGGGAGCUCUGGAGGCCUCUAAUCCAAUCACCUGCUCGAAGUAGGCUAACUCCAAAGCUAGAUCUGGUUGCUCUGGGCCUUGUCAGACUGAGUUUUGAAUAUCUCUGAGAGCGGAGAUCUCCCCAUUCUCUGGUGCCUGUCCAAGGGCUGCACCUCGCUUGCACAGAAGCAGUUUUCCCUUAAGUCCAAACAGAAUUUCUCCUGUUGCAACUCUUGCCCUCUCCCUGUGCACCUCUGUGAAGAGUAUGGCUCCACCUUCUCUGUAAACCUCUGUAGAUGGUGAGUGGUGACUGCAGUCAGGUCCCCUUCACUGUCCCUUCUCCCARCUGGACAAGCCCACUUCCUUCAGCCUCUCCUUGUACAUCACGUGCUCCAUCCCCCAGCCAUCUUUGGGGCUGAUUUCAACUCUGCUUCAGUGGCUGCCUGAAGACGCCCUGUUGCAGGGUGAGCAGGAGGGGUGGCACAGCCCAGUCGCUGGUGGAGGGGCCUUGCCGCACGAGCUCCUCACAGGGGGACAUGAUGCACAGUCCAGCUCUUCCACGUGUUCGGUGCCUGGUGUGGCAUGAACCAGCAGCUGAGGCUCAGAUAUAUUUGCAAAACAACUUUCUGGAAGAAGGGAAGGGAGGGAAAGCAUGUGCCUUGGGAGAACAGCAUUCUGGUGCGUGGACAACUCCAGAAACCGCCAUACUGAGUCACUCGGGGCCCUGCUGGAUGGUGUCAGUGGGAACUCUUUCAGCUACACCCUUGUUCCAAGAAUGAGUGCUAGCGCUGUGUGUAGCCAAGGUCCUACGCUGUUCCAGAUGCUUUGGCCAGAUGAUGGUAAAGUGAAUCUGUUCUUCCACCAUGCCAAUCUUCCUCCUUGGGCACACAUGGACUGAAGUGUGACAUGAAGUCAUGAAGUGCUCUGGCGGGUAGAUAUACACUGUCUGACUAUGUGGGGAAGCAGCAAAUAAAUCCAG